This is a long non-coding RNA of Andrographis paniculata, 370 nucleotides long. RefSeq lists it as uncharacterized. The record is from RefSeq and is a predicted model, not a curated record. The transcript is spliced from 3 exons. NCBI's taxonomy places the organism in Eukaryota, Viridiplantae, Streptophyta, Magnoliopsida, Lamiales, Acanthaceae.
GUAAAAUUGGAUAAAGCUUUGUGGGCUUAUCGAACAACCUUUAAAACUCCUAUCGUAUCGCAGGUACUUGAAUCAGGAGCAAGUGUCCUCCAAGCUGAUGAUGGAAGGGAGUUUACAGUAAAUGGACAAUGAGUUAAGCACUAUUUUGGUGAUGAAGUUUGGAGGAUCGACCUAAUAUCGAUGAGACCACCCAUCGAUUGAUCAGUUUUAGUGUUGUUGGUAAGUGCAUGCAAAGUGGAAAUCUCCAUGCAAUGGUCGGGCUAGAAAACUAUGGUCAGAUUCACUAUGCACCGAUAAUUGUUCAAUUUUCGACUUGUAGCAAGGCGCUAGCAAUGUAUCAGGUGACAUCUAUUCAUGGUCUAUUUCUUAU